This 253-nucleotide ribosomal RNA is filed under the name uncultured prokaryote. RNAcentral describes it as "partial 16S ribosomal RNA". It matches the Rfam family "Bacterial small subunit ribosomal RNA", at positions 525 to 777 of the family's 1533-position model. The record is from RNAcentral.
ACAGAGGUGGCAAGCGUUGUUCGGAUUCAUUGGGUGUAAAGGGCAGGUAGGUGGUCGGGUAAGUCUGUCGUGAAAUCCCAUGGCUCAACCGUGGAACUGCGUUGGAAACUGCCUGACUUGAGUACCGGAGAGGUGAAGGGAAUUCUCGGUGUAAGGGUGAAAUCUGUAGAUAUCGAGAGGAACACCAGUGGCGAAGGCGCUUCACUGGCCGGUUACUGACACUGAGCUGCGAAAGCAAGGGGAGCUAACAGGA